CGAAUGCUGACAUAAGUAACGAUAAAGCGGGUGAAAAGCCCGCUCGCCGGAAGACCAAGGGUUCCUGUCCAACGUUAAUCGGGGCAGGGUGAGUCGACCCCUAAGGCGAGGCCGAAAGGCGUAGUCGAUGGGAAACAGGUUAAUAUUCCUGUACUUGGUGUUACUGCGAAGGGGGGACGGAGAAGGCUAUGUUGGCCGGGCGACGGUUGUCCCGGUUUAAGCGUGUAGGCUGGUUUUCCAGGCAAAUCCGGAAAAUCAAGGCUGAG
RNAcentral lists this ribosomal RNA (266 nucleotides) under Escherichia coli. RNAcentral describes it as "partial 23S ribosomal RNA". It matches the Rfam family "Bacterial large subunit ribosomal RNA", at positions 1291 to 1560 of the family's 2925-position model. The record is from RNAcentral. Lineage: Bacteria; Pseudomonadati; Pseudomonadota; Gammaproteobacteria; Enterobacterales; Enterobacteriaceae.